CCUGGCCUUAUACUCCCUCUAAACCCUCUCCCACACUUUAGUUCAUGUGGGUUUUGCAUAUUUUAUUGCAAAUUUGUGUGCAAUCAACUUUCUCAAUUUUUUGUUUUGCAGAUCUUGAUUUUUGCCUAUUUGGGUCAAAAUGGUGCUAUUGAUGUAGAAAAGAUUGGGGAGAUUAGUUUCCCUGAUAUGGAAAAUUUUAGGUGGGAAGAUUUGCUUUUUGUUUAUAAAGUAUGAGCUUGCUUCAGGAAACUGAAUUCGUUGUGGAUAAAAAUGCAUCUGCUUGGAAUUUCAUCAUCUUGGGAAAGGCACUGGUGUAGGAGAAACAAAGAACGAGUCUAAGAUUAAUGGAGUGACAUUUUUUCCUAAAGGCAUAAACAACACUUUCUAACAAAGGAAGACGUGGGAGAAUAGAAUGAAUCCAAUGCAUUUAUCUUGAACUCACGGAAAUUUCGAUGUCUAAAAGAUGUUCCAUUCACAUGAUACUCAGCAACUAUAAUGUACUUUCUUAUUUUCUUAUCAUUCAUGAGCGAAUCAGCAUGCUAGUAGAUAUCCUAUAGUCUAACAUUCUCAGUGAAUCUACGGGUUUUUGGAGUGUUUGUGUUUUUCACUAUGCAGAGAGAAAAUAGUACAAGAGAGAACUUGAUAAAACUUUAAAGAGUCAAUAAUGGAGAAGAGAAUGGUGGUUUCAAUGAAUGAGAGGCUUAUGCCAUGAAGAAUGUGUGUGCCAUGAUGCGCUUGGGGCUAAAGGAAGACUUCGUUUUAUAUAUUGGGCAUCCACCAUUCUUAGUUUGACGAUUGGAGUUAGUUUCCGUAUUUAG
This is a long non-coding RNA of Morus notabilis, 818 nucleotides long. RefSeq lists it as uncharacterized. NCBI's taxonomy places the organism in Eukaryota, Viridiplantae, Streptophyta, Magnoliopsida, Rosales, Moraceae. The record is from RefSeq and is a predicted model, not a curated record. The transcript is spliced from 5 exons.